Molecule: long non-coding RNA, 1732 nt
Filed under: Equus caballus (horse)
Lineage: Eukaryota; Metazoa; Chordata; Mammalia; Perissodactyla; Equidae
Description: lncRNA (ENSECAG00000059311.1)
Source: RNAcentral
AAAAAAUGUAAAUAUAUAUAUCUAUAAACCGCUUUUUGGUUCAGUUUCAAAGCAGAUGGCAAAUUUCUGAGGAUGCACUUAGUGGCUGGGUUUUGCCAUCUCGUCGAUGUGUUGUCAAGGUGAAGGAGGGGCCGGAGCCUUUGAUGUCUGCGAGGUGGGGCUUUCUAGGUCUUUCUUCAUGCUCAAAAGAAGAGUAUUGGUUACUCCCAGUCUCUUUGGAAAUAAGCUUUUAGGGAAUCAGGCCAAAAGGACUAGAACUUGGGGGAGUGUGUUUCAUGCCAGGAAGCCUUAAUUAAAGAGUGGGAGGUAUAGAUUAUCUUGAAGAAAGACCUCUGGUAAAGAUCUAUUUUUAACCUUAAUGAAUAUGCUAUUAAUUAAAAAGUCUUCCGGAUAAGACACAAAGACUUACCAAAAGAUUAUUGCCUGCUAUGUUUAACCUGGGAACAUGACACAAAAUGCUUUAAACAGGAAACUUAUUACAUUGAAAGAGAACUUUCUCUUGGUAAAAUCAUGUUCAGAAUAAUGAACUGUCAAUUUGCUUUAAUUACUUUUAAACAUAUAAACAUUUUCAAACACCAAGAUAACACUGUGCCCCAGGAAAUCUCGGGGUGCAGGGGGCUUGGGGUUCCUGAGAUGAGCUGUUAUUUCUGAUAUCCAGCAACAGUUUUGCAGACAUGUCCCCAAAUAAACUAUUUAACAAAACUCAACUCUCUCUUCUCCUCAUGUUCUUCUCUUUAUCUAACUUCUAAAUAUAAUUCAAUCAUAGGUUUGAGCAAUUUAAUUAAUUAAAUUACCAACGCUUGCCUAAAGAACAGUGUCUAUUCUUGGUGAGCUAAAUUAUUUUGAAGCAAAUUAAACAUUUAGAAAAGUGGUUUGCAUCCCUCACGGCACAUUAGCAUUACCGGGGGAGCUUAAAAAAAAUACUAACAUCCUGGUUCCACCCCCAGAGGUUGUGUUUUAAUGGGAAUGGGAGGGGAGGCAGCCGCUCUGAGAUUUUAGCUUGCAGUCAAAGGAGUCCAAAUCCACAUUGUUUCUGGGAACCGUGAAUUCUCUGGACUUGCAUGGAUGGUCCUAAAGGCUAUAUUGAGGUUGCAGAGUCUUAGGGUUUAGAAAACCAGCACCUGUGACUUCAAAGCUGAAGCAGCGUGGGUCAGUGAAAUGAGUUUGAAGGGUGCAGGGAGCAGGAGCUUUCCUUAGGAGGGUCCCAGGUCAUGUCAAGAGGACCUGCCAAGGACAUAGCAGUCCCAAGCUUUGGUCUUCUGACGCUCUACCUAUGGGAAAGGGAGUACCUAUAAAUUGGCCAACAGGUCAUCUCUGAUUUUUAAAAUACCCCAUGAUGUGAGCAGAUGAAGACUCGCUGAGGAGUAGGAAAAAUGUCAGCUCUUCCAUUGCCUUGACGUUCUCUUGUGUUUGCAUUAUUAUUAUCUUUAGUUGACUCUUUGGGUUGUUUGACUUUUUUAGCUUUGGGAAACACAAGGGUCAGAUGGAUCACCAGUGUCCAGUCAAGAGAACUCACGGCAAGCCAUCCAGCCACAUCCAGGAUUACUGGGACUAUCUAUGUUCAUUACCUCGAAUCGCUAAGAAAAUCUCCAGGAGAAGAGAAUUACUUAUGUAACUUUCAAAGUAGUAGGAAGAAAUGAAAAGAACUCAGUCCAAAAGAAGGCAAAAAAAGGAGAAAAUAAGAGAUGUAGAGAAAGUCAGAUUCUUACAAAACACGAAACAAGAUAUAGAG